Molecule: long non-coding RNA, 939 nt
Organism: Numida meleagris (helmeted guineafowl)
Lineage: Eukaryota; Metazoa; Chordata; Aves; Galliformes; Numididae
Exons: 6
Source: RefSeq, a predicted model, not a curated record
UGGCAGCGGAAGGGGAAGCAUCUCUACUUGGAGAUUGCCUCCUUUGGGAGUUUACUAGUGAGCCUGGUAUCUCCGGAAAGGGACAUCCUGAUUAUGGAGUAAAGUGCUGCUGCACCUGGGUCUGAACAAGCAAAACAGAUUGCUCUGGUGAGAGACAGCAGGAGGAAACCCAAGGCACAGAGGAGGAGAUGAGAAACUGAAAAUUGCUCCAGCGACCCAGGAAAAGAAGUCCUCCUGGCAUUCCAUGUGCCAGCCUGGGCUCCCUCCCUACUGUAUGGCUGCACUGCUCACAGAAAUAAUAAAGGCUAAAGGAGCAAGAGGAAAGAUCUGGGACCACGAACGCAUCUGCUGAGCCACGUAUCAUAUUCCAGUCUCAAUGCAAUUAUUUACAGGUGGAAAUUACAUCACUAUGAACAUACUUAUAUGAGACAUGAGAAACAAUUGGGGAAGUUGUCUGGAAUUAGCAUCCAAUACACUGAUGGAGCCCAACCGAUUUGGUUCAAAUCUGUGAAGUUUAAAGUGGUCUAUUUGAACAAAACUGACCAUUCGCAUAUGGAUCCACUAGCCAUCAUUCUACAGCAGUGAGUGACCAUUUUUUCAUUAUUAUUACUUUUUAAACAGAGCUGAACUGCUGUACUGUCCUCAGAAUCAGUGACACAUCAGUCAUUUGGCUGGCAUUUCAAUAAACAUCUGUUUUUCUCAGAGCAAACCACGACAGUCAUCUUUGUUAAGAUUUCCUGGCAUUCUAAUGUCAUCUCCAUGGUUAUUGCAGUCUGUUCCUGCAGAAACAAAACAAGUAUAAAACAAACCAGCCCCUCCAGAACUCAGAGUGAGAUGGAAAGACCUUGAGAGCUUUCAUCCCUCUCCAUUUGUACUUGCCACCUGGCCCUGGAAGCAGCUCAGCUCUCAUAAGCCUUCACUAGAGACUAGCCUUAUCUU